GCGAGCUUAGCGCAGUUGGUAGCGCGUUAGUCUCAUAAUCUAAAGGCCGCGAGUUCGAGUCUCGCAGUUCGCA
This is a transfer RNA of Spraguea lophii 42_110, 73 nucleotides long. It matches the Rfam family "tRNA". Rfam says of the family: Transfer RNA (tRNA) molecules are approximately 80 nucleotides in length. Their secondary structure includes four short double-helical elements and three loops (D, anti-codon, and T loops). Lineage: Eukaryota; Fungi; Microsporidia; Spragueidae. The record is from Rfam.